Molecule: ribosomal RNA, 496 nt
Filed under: uncultured bacterium
Lineage: Bacteria
Description: partial 16S ribosomal RNA
Rfam family: Bacterial small subunit ribosomal RNA
Source: RNAcentral
GAUGAACGCUAGCGGCAGGCCUAAUACAUGCAAGUCGAGGGGUAGAGGUUGCUUGCAACCUUGAGACCGGCGCACGGGUGCGUAACGCGUAUGCAACCUACCCUUUUCUGGGGGAUAGCCCGGAGAAAUCCGGGUUAAUACCGCAUAAGACCACGGGACGGCAUCGUCCAGGGGUCAAACAUUUAUGGGAGAAGGAUGGGCAUGCGUGCCAUUAGCUAGUUGGCGGGGUAACGGCCCACCAAGGCGACGAUGGCUAGGGGAACUGAGAGGAUGGCCCCCCAAACUGGUACGGAGACCCGGACCAGACUCCUACAGGAGGCAGCAGUAAGGAAUAUUGGUCAACGGGGGCAACCCUUAACCAGCCAUGCCGCGUGCAGGACGACGGCCCUCCGGGUUGUAAACUGCUUUUGUACGGGAAUAAACACCGAUACGUGUAUCGGCUUGAAUGUACCGUAAGAAUAAGGAUCGGCUAACUCCGUGCCAGCAGCCGCCGUAA